AAGGGCAGAGUCUGGGAUGAAGGAAGCGCGUGGACACCAGUCUCCACUUGGUCCCCUCCCCGCCUUAGCCCUCAGCCAGGCCAUGCAGGGGUGUUGGGAGCAGUCCCGUGUGCCCGAGUGAGCCACCGGCCUUAUUCCAAAUCAGGCCCCAGUCCCGGUGAGGGGGUGUCCCUGGGGCCAAGGGGCAGGAAUUAGGGGGAAUGCGGCUUUCUAAUGGGCCACAGCCUCCAUCUGCAUAUGACCAGCUUUGUUCUCAGGGCCUGAAAUCUAGCGGGCUAAGGACUGCCUUCUAUACUUUGUUUGAAUUCAGAUUAGGAGCAAUGGCCCCAGGAAUCAGCUAACCCUUGUUCAAACCCGUCUCUGUCAGUUACCAGCUGUGUAAUCUUGAGCAAGUUACUUCCGCUCUCUGAGUCUCAGUCUCUUCAUUGGAAUUAUGGAAAUUAUAGCAGUGAUUCUGGGUUGAGUUUUAAAUCAAAGAGUCCAUCUGAAAGGGAUUAGCACGUCUUCAGGUGGACGGCGGGCCUUCCAUCCUUGGACCACCUUGAUGGGCUCACCUCCACGCCUGAUAAAGAUAUCACCCUCCUCCGCUCCCCUCUGGAAAGCAGCCCUCAUCUUGCGUACCACGCCCACUCUCUCGCUCCCAGCAGCAAGUGAAAGUUCUCUCCCUGUGGCAGUGGAUCAACGCAGACCCCAUUAGACACUGGUUGUGAGAUGCUGGGGAGACUCACUUCUGUGGGACACGGCAUAGAACCACUGUAAUGCAAGUAAGCUGGCUGACCAAAGAAACACUGGGAAUUGCAUCCUUUCAGAGCUGGUCUGCCUCUGAAUUCAAGAGGAGCAGCACGUUCCUGGGUGCCACUGCUGCGGGGACCAGGCUGGAGAGAAGGACCUGCUCAGACAAGGCUCAGCCAGGACCCCAGAUCACGCUGCACUUCUGUCUCCCUGCGGUACCAAGGAUAGCUUCAUCGUCAAGGUUGCAGGACUCCAUUCAAGACCCAAAGAGGCACCAGUGAAGCUUUCAAGAGGGACUGUGGAAGUCAGUCUGAGGGCUGGUCCGUGCCCGAGGGCACCAAGGCUUGAGCAUCUGAUCCCAAAUGGUCCCAGAGGCACUUGAACCUUUUCUCCCUCCCCUAAGUGGCUGCGGGUCUCAUGUUUCCCUGGCUCUGUGAUGUCCCUGGGCUGGUCCUCACAGUCAGCUUUGAUCAGAGGUCCUAGAGCUCCCAGAUGAGCCUGGAUCUGAGCGGUUCCCCCAGCCAUCCUCGAACCGGGAACACCAGCGCCCUCCACGAGGUCUCCAUCACCAAGGAUGGAGGUCUAGCCUCUUCCCUCGGCUUGAGUGAGGGGGGAAGCAGGGAGGAGGGCACAUCCAGGCAGUUUCUGAUGCAAUUAGUAUUAAAAGAUGCAAGGACAGUGAGGUCAAACCUGACAGGCAGUGCUCAUAUCAACGCCCGAAAAAAAGUGAAACAUUAGCUUCAUUUCAACUUUCUCAGGAAGAAGGCAGUGGAGAUCAGUUG
Bubalus bubalis (water buffalo) is the source of this 1514-nucleotide long non-coding RNA. RefSeq lists it as uncharacterized. Lineage: Eukaryota; Metazoa; Chordata; Mammalia; Artiodactyla; Bovidae. The record is from RefSeq and is a predicted model, not a curated record. The transcript has 3 exons.